Long non-coding RNA from Gallus gallus (chicken), 2991 nucleotides. NCBI's taxonomy places the organism in Eukaryota, Metazoa, Chordata, Aves, Galliformes, Phasianidae. The record is from Ensembl.
UGAAGGUGUGAGAGGGAUUUGGUCCUUGGUUGUUCCCUUAGCCUCACGUGCCACCAGUUGUGGGGGCUCUCCCCCUAGCAUACAGCUCCCUUGGCUCCUGCUGCAUCAGCACUCCCUGUGCACUGGGCCCAGCCCCCUUCUGUUGCCAUUCGUUAUUUCUGAUCCAAUAAAUAACAGUACAGUGAGGGACUGAUUUAGAUUGUGGUAGGAGCCCUAAUGUCAGGAAAGAAGGAGAAGCGGAGAGUCUCUGCAGAGGGAGAGCACUGGGCUGCGUGAUGGAAGCACAGAGGGUUGGCUGCAAACACCUGGGGAUAAACCAUGCUGGCAUCUCAGAGUGCAGCAGCCUGGCGGAUCCCAGGUGGAGAGGAGGAGUUCUGCAAGGCCUUUGUAGGCUUCACUACAGGACUCCUGUCCCACAGUUCUGUUUGAGAGCCAUACCUUGAGCAGUAACAAAUUGACCUGAGCUGCUCUGCUCACCCUUUGCUCUGUCUCUGCAGGCUGCAGUGCUCUGGCAGAAGCCCAUGAGAGGCACCCAGUGACUGCUCCAGGGGACUGCAGCAGCCGUCCCAUUGCCACGGACGUCCAGUGCUCACAUGAGUGGCAAGAGUAGGUGCAGAAGGAGUUAAACAGUGCUGGGAAAAUUGGUAUUUAAUCCAGUACUGUCCCUUCUAGCAAACCUAGAUGGGAAAAUGCCUCCCUGUUGGAAACGGUGCUUCUCAGAAAUGGAAAUGCAGGGUGGCUGGGGAUUAGGGUGCCUAUCGCUGGAAAUGGGUUUCUUAUCGUCUCUCUGUGUUGAAUUGGUGGGACAGCCUCUGAAAAUUGAAUUGCCUUCCCUGUUUCUGUCUCUGCCAUUGCAUCCCUCCUGUGCUGUAGCUUUGCACUUGCUUUCCUGCCUCUGGUCUCCCUUGUCCCUACGCUCAGCAGAGCAGUGUCUGUCUGCAAGGCGUUCGUGUCUGUGGAGAGGGACGGUGCUGCAGUGGGCUGUGGGCAGGGCUGGCUGCACUGGGAGGGCUUUGUCCAUGGGACUCCCAAGGCUGGGAUGCCAACCCUUUCCACGCUUCCUUCCAACCCUGCAAGGACAGCAGAGGCAAAGCGUGAUAGGGGGCAGCAUGCGAGGAGGCUUGGAAUGAUCAGAGGACAUCAGGCACAACUGGAAAGGAGCACUGGUGGUGAGGAGCUGGGGGAGAGACCAGUCUGAACAUGCAGCAGGAAAGAGACUGACUUCUCAUGAGACAAGAAGCAGCCUUGAUCCCAGGGCUUUGCUGCACCAUGCAGAGGUGUGGCAUCCCACAUCUUUGGCUGUGACUGCAGUGGCCAUUCCUCCUCUUUCCUGCUUGCAGCUUGUCUGUCUGUGGUGAGAAGCACGCAUGUCACAGGCAUCACACAGAGCUGUCCCGGUGUCACCUGUGGCUACUGAGGGUCACCCAGCUAGGCUGCACCUCACCUGGAUGUGCAUUUUGUCACCCGGGGCUCUCACAGCCCCUCAGGUGUGGUCAUGUGUUUAACAACUAUUAAAACAAUUUCUGUUCCAUUUUGGGCUGAAGCUGAUAAAUCAAGGUGACUUUGGGGAGAGAAAUAAUUCCUUUCCUUAGAUUUGCAUAAUCCUGGCUGGUGAUAUGAUAAUGGUGUUUGUUAAAGACAGGACACAAUAAAUUAAUACUGUUAAGUUGUUGCUGCAAACUACGAAGCAGAUAAUUUAUUGUGGGUGCAAAGGAGAGUGAGUGCUGCAGGCACGGCCAUAGCCUCUGUCCUCAGCUUUCACCACGUGCACCUGGGUUCAGCUCUUGUCCUGCAGCACCACACGUGAGGAGGAGCUGGUGUGAUGCACAGGUAGAGAGGGGUGCUUGGUAGAGGUGCAUUGGAGCCUCACUCAUUCCCUGGGCUGCUGCUGCAGCUCCAGAGCCAUCCUUGCAUGUCAUAUCCCACUGGAAUCCUAAUGCACCAUUUAUCUCUGCAGCUUCACAGCUCUAUUAGAAGGAAGAUGCUGUGUGGGAGCCAGAGCAGGGUUUCAAGCUAAUUGGAUUCUGUGUCUCCGUGGUUUCCCAUGUAGGCAGGCAACAGGGAUUAGUGCAGUGUUUCUGAGGAACAGAGGAGAGUUGAGGAUGACCUGCAUGGGGAUUUCCUCCUGCACAACCCCUGCUGCUAGCAAAGGACUUUUUAAACAGGCUGUUGAGGUGGAAGGGCUGGGAGCAGCAUGUCCUUAAUCUUUGGUAGCGUUGCUGCCUGAAUUUCAUGUUCUCUUCCUAAUUCUUUGAGCCAGGUACCAUUCACUUUCUAGGGAAUAAACCAGCUCAACCAGCCUCCAAGCACAAACAAGCCUGGCGCUGUUCUGGUCUCUCCUGCUAACCCCUUUGUAGGGGAAACCAGAUGGAAAUCAAACUGUCGGUGUCUCCUGAGCACAACUAACCACCUGCCCGAGUUACACUCCUUUGCCUCCCUGCUCCCCUUCCCAAGCCUAGCUGCUGGCUGGAAGCAGUGCACAUCAGAUAUCCAUCCUCCCCGAGUUCCUAGUCUGCCAGGGCAGGAACGGAAUUCACCUCAUUAACAUAGAUUUAUUCCUGUAUAAACAUUUCAUUGCUUUAAUUGCAAACCAGCCAUACUGCAGGCAGUGGUGGCAGUGCCUCCAUUUACACUGAGCAUUGGAGACAGCAGAGUACGUAUGGCACAUGGCUGAGCGCAUACAGGUAGGACGUGCCACGGUGUCUGCAUGCAGAAGUGUGUGCUGUGCAAUGCAGAGUCGGCUGGUCUGGGUUAGUGGCCCUUCUUCCUGGCAGUAGUGAGGCCCUGGGGCCCCAUCCAGCUGAGCACCAGUGCAGGAGGAUGCACCCAGGCAACGGUCUGCUGGACUGACAGCUCUGUAGGUGCAGAGGGGUACCGGUUCCUGACAGCCUGCUGCUGCAUUUCAUGCUCUCUGCUCUCCCCCAUUCUCACCCAAACGUUAAUUUUACGGAUGCCUUUAUAAAUCUCGCCGUUUUUUCCUGUUCAUGGGCU